UACAGAGGGGGCAAGCGUUGUUCGGAAUUACUGGGCGUAAAGGGCGCGUAGGCGGCCUGCUAAGUCGAACGUGAAAUCCCUGGGCUCAACCCAGGAACUGCGUCCGAUACUGGUUGGCUUGAAUCCGGGAGAGGGAUGUGGAAUUCCAGGUGUAGCGGUGAAAUGCGUAGAUAUCUGGAAGAACACCCGUGGCGAAGGCGGCUUCCUGGAACGACACUGACGCUGAGACGCGAAAGCGUGGGGAGCAAACAGG
This 253-nucleotide ribosomal RNA is filed under the name uncultured bacterium. RNAcentral describes it as "partial 16S ribosomal RNA". It matches the Rfam family "Bacterial small subunit ribosomal RNA", at positions 524 to 776 of the family's 1533-position model. The record is from RNAcentral.